This 984-nucleotide ribosomal RNA is filed under the name Triticum aestivum (bread wheat). RNAcentral's name for it is "partial small subunit ribosomal RNA". The record is from RNAcentral. Lineage: Eukaryota; Viridiplantae; Streptophyta; Magnoliopsida; Poales; Poaceae.
AUGCGGCGACGGCGACGGCGACAACGAGUGGAGGAGAUGAAGCGGAGGCAACUCGAGGGCCUCCUAGGGGGCCUGGUCCAGUUCUCCCCCGCCGCCUCCUCUGCUCGAUUUGGCCUCCAAAAAAAGGCAGGCGAUGCUCUGAUUCAGCUGUAUACUCAUUUCAUCUCUGAUUUUGAGGUCAAGAUCAACCUUCUUAAAUCUUCUCACUUCGCGGUAGUAGUUUCACGCCAGUAUUCAGAUAAAGAUGCUGGUAUAAGCUAUCUCGAAGGCGUAAUUUCGAAGCUGCGUGAUACCAAGGAAUCACGGGUUGAAGAGCCCAUUCUGUAUGUGAAGAUGCAGAUUGCAAGUUUUCUUCUUGAGAAAGGGAAUCAAAAGGAGUGUAAGAAACUGGUAGACGAGGGUAAAACCACUUUGGAUAGCAUGGGCGAUGUUGAUCCUUCAGUACAUUCAACCUAUUAUUCAUUAUGUUCUCAGUACCAUAAAGUGUGUCAAGACAAUUCUGAAUUUUAUAAAAAUGCUCUUCUCUAUCUUGCAUACACAACAGUGGAGUCACUUUUAGAACCAUUCAGACAGAACCUGGCAUUUGACCUCUCACUUGCUGCUUUAUUGGGUGACAACAUAUACAACAUCGGGGAGUUGCUUGCCCAUCCAAUUGUCCAUCCAUCCAUGUAUGCCUUUCCUUGUAUGCCUGAAUUUUUUCAAGGGAUCGGUGGCAGCGAGAUCCACGAGGAGCACGAGGCGGUGCAGCAAGAUGGACAAAGACGGUGUGGCAGCGGGGUGGGCAAGAAGAUGAGGGGAUUGAGGAGAGGGUGGAGGCAACGACAGUUUGCAACAAAUAAACAUCUAUCAUUGGUUGCAGUUGCAGGUUUGAGGACAACUAGCUGCAGGUCAUGUUCCAGAACCCCCCCUUUCAAUCUUCUCUCCCCAUGGACUGAAUAUGAGGAAAAUUGUGCUGACGAUCUUUUCUAUACUGAGCAAUGGUAG